CAGCCGCCACGGUAAUACGGAGGGGGCUAGCGUUGUUCGGAAUUACUGGGCGUAAAGCGCACGUAGGCGGCUUGGUAAGUUAGAGGUGAAAGCCUGGAGCUCAACUCCAGAAUUGCCUUUAAGACUGCCGAGCUAGCAGGUGAGAGAGGUAAGUGGAAUUCCGAGUGUAGAGGUGAAAUUCGUAGAUAUUCGGAAGAACACCAGUGGCGAAGGCGGCUUACUGGCUCAUACUGGACGCUGAGGUGCGAAAGCGUGGGGAGCAAACAGGAUUAGAUACCCGCGUAGUCCCUGUCUCUUAUAC
Molecule: ribosomal RNA, 301 nt
Filed under: uncultured bacterium
Lineage: Bacteria
Description: partial 16S ribosomal RNA
Rfam family: Bacterial small subunit ribosomal RNA
Source: RNAcentral